Molecule: ribosomal RNA, 512 nt
Filed under: uncultured bacterium
Lineage: Bacteria
Description: partial 16S ribosomal RNA
Rfam family: Bacterial small subunit ribosomal RNA
Source: RNAcentral
GAUGAACGCUGGCGGCGUGCCUAAUACAUGCAAGUCGAACGAAACUUCUUUAUCACCGAGUGCUUGCACUCACCGAUAAAGAGUUGAGUGGCGAACGGGUGAGCAACACGUGGGCAACCUGCCCAAAAGAGGGGGAUAACACUUGGAAACAGGUGCUAAUACCGCAUAACCAUAGUUACCGCAUGGUAACUAUGUAAAAGGUGGCUAUACUACCGCUUUUGGAUGGGCCCGCGGCGCAUUAGCUAGUUGGUAGGGUAAAGGCUUACCAAGGCAAUGAUGCGUAGCCGAAUUGAGAGGUUGAUCGGCCACAUUGGGACUGAGACACGGCCCAAACUCCUACGGGAGGCAGCAGUAGGGAAUCUUCCACAAUGGGCGAAAGCCUGAUGGAGCAACGCCGCGUGGGUGAAGAAGGUCUUCGGAUCGUAAAACCCUGUUGUUAGAGAAGAAAGUGCGUGAGAGUAACUGUUCACGUUUCGACGGUAUCUAACCAGAAAGCCACGGCUAACUACGUG